RNAcentral lists this ribosomal RNA (253 nucleotides) under uncultured bacterium. Its description in RNAcentral is "partial 16S ribosomal RNA". It matches the Rfam family "Bacterial small subunit ribosomal RNA", at positions 524 to 776 of the family's 1533-position model. The record is from RNAcentral.
UACGAGGGGGGCAAGCGUUGUUCGGAAUUACUGGGCGUAAAGGGCUCGUAGGUGGCCAACUAAGUCAUGCGUGAAAUCCCUCGGCUUAACCGGGGAACUGCGUCUGAUACUGGAUGGCUUGAGUUUGGGAGAGGGAUGCGGAAUUCCAGGUGUAGCGGUGAAAUGCGUAGAUAUCUGGAGGAACACCGGUGGCGAAGGCGGCAUCCUGGACCAACACUGACACUGAGGAGCGAAAGCCAGGGGAGCAAACGGG